AAAGCUUUUGCCAUGUGACCCAGAAUUGCCAAAGCUAGCUUUUUCAUUUCACUAGCAUAAGUUUCCAAAGAAUCUCUGAGCUUUGGAGGAAGUUUGUCAAAAAGGUCAUUCUUCCUGAGAUUGAAAGGAAGAGUGGUAAUGUAGAACACGUCUGACCAAUCUAGCUUCUGCUCCUCUGAUACCACAAACAGCUGCCCAAAACCUUCAUGGUUGUCUGGCUUCUGCCACAGCUUCUUCUUCUGUUCAUAUGGAAGUCCGAAGAAACUCUCAAUUUCCAACUUGACUCCCUCCAGAAAAUCAGUGCUUACUCCGUGGUUCACAACCUGGAAGAAACCCCAUUCUCUGCAAGCGGACUGCAAGCUCUCCAACUCCGAAUCCAUGGAAUCUCCAACGGCCAAUCUUU
RNAcentral lists this unclassified non-coding RNA (403 nucleotides) under Hevea brasiliensis (rubber tree). Lineage: Eukaryota; Viridiplantae; Streptophyta; Magnoliopsida; Malpighiales; Euphorbiaceae. The record is from RNAcentral.